UAGGAAUCUUGCCACAAUGGCGAAGCCUGAUGGAGCAACGCCGCGUGAGUGAGGAAGGCUUUCGGGUCGUAAAGCUCUGUUGCCAGGGAAGAAUAAGGAUCAUUUAACUGAUGAUCCGAUGACGGUACCUGAGAAGAAAGCCCCGGCUAACUACGUGCCAGCAGCCGCGGUAAUACGUAGGGGGCAAGCGUUGUCCGGAAUUAUUGGGCGUAAAGCGCGCGCAGGCGGCUCUUUAAGUCUGGUGUUUAAGUGCGGGGCUCAACCCCGUGACGCACUGGAAACUGGGGAGCUUGAGUGCAGAAGAGGAGAGCGGAAUUCCACGUGUAGCGGUGAAAUGCGUAGAGAUGUGGAGGAACACCAGUGGCGAAGGCGGCUCUCUGGACUGUAACUGACGCUGAGGCGCGAAAGCGUGGGGAGCAAACAGGAUUAGAUAGCCCUGGUAGUCCACGCCGUAAACGAUGAGUGCUAGGUGUUGGGGGUAUCAUGCCCUCGGUGCCGAAGUUAACACAUUAAGCACUCCGCCUGGGGAGUACGGUCGCAAGACUGAAACUCAAAGGAAUUGACGGGGUCAU
RNAcentral lists this ribosomal RNA (572 nucleotides) under uncultured bacterium. RNAcentral's name for it is "partial 16S ribosomal RNA". It matches the Rfam family "Bacterial small subunit ribosomal RNA", at positions 356 to 922 of the family's 1533-position model. The record is from RNAcentral.